CGUAACAAGGUCUCCGUUGGUGAACCAGCGGAGGGAUCAUUACUGAGUUACCGCUCUAUAACCCUUUGUGAACAUACCUAACCGUUGCUUCGGCGGGCAGGGGAAGCCUCUCGCGGGCCUCCCCUCCCGGCGCCGGCCCCCACCACGGGGACGGGGCGCCCGCCGGAGGAAACCAAACUCUAUUUACACGACGUCUCUUCUGAGUGGCACAAGCAAAUAAUUAAAACUUUUAACAACGGAUCUCUUGGUUCUGGCAUCGAUGAAGAACGCAGCGAAAUGCGAUAAGUAAUGUGAAUUGCAGAAUUCAGUGAAUCAUCGAAUCUUUGAACGCACAUUGCGCUCGCCAGCAUUCUGGCGAGCAUGCCUGUUCGAGCGUCAUUUCAACCCUCAAGCACCGCUUGGUUUUGGGGCCCCACGGCACACGUGGGCCCUUAAAGGUAGUGGCGGACCCUCCCGGAGCCUCCUUUGCGUAGUAACUAACGUCUCGCACUGGGAUUCGGAGGGACUCUUGCCGUAAAACCCCCAAAUUUUUUACAGGUGACCUCGGAUCA
Molecule: ribosomal RNA, 551 nt
Filed under: Colletotrichum sp. AX115
Lineage: Eukaryota; Fungi; Ascomycota; Sordariomycetes; Glomerellales; Glomerellaceae
Description: eukaryotic LSU rRNA
Rfam family: 5.8S ribosomal RNA (bases 225-378)
Source: RNAcentral